CGAGCGGGCUGCGCGGCCGCGGCGCGUGAAAACGCGAUGAGGAAAGUCCGGGCAUCACAGGGCAGGACGCCUGAUAACGUCAGGUGAAGGCGACUUCAAUGAAAGUGCAACAGAAAUAGACCGCAGUGCCUUUUGGCGCUGUAAGGAUUGAAAGGCGAGGUAAGAGCUCACCGACGGGACGGUAACGCCCCGUGCCAUGUAAACCCCGUCCGAUGCAAGUUUGGGCUCUGUUCAUAUGGGCUGCCCGUCCGAGCAGAGCCGUGAAUAACGCUUGAGCCCGUCGGUGACGGCGGGCGUAGAUAAAUGACCGCGCUCGACAGAACCCGGCUUACAGGCCCGCCUCGGAUC
RNAcentral lists this RNase P RNA (348 nucleotides) under Candidatus Gallimonas gallistercoris. RNAcentral describes it as "RNase P RNA component class A". It matches the Rfam family "Bacterial RNase P class A". Rfam says of the family: Ribonuclease P (RNase P) is a ubiquitous endoribonuclease, found in archaea, bacteria and eukarya as well as chloroplasts and mitochondria. Its best characterised activity is the generation of mature 5'-ends of tRNAs by cleaving the 5'-leader elements of precursor-tRNAs. Cellular RNase Ps are ribonucleoproteins. Lineage: Bacteria; Bacillati; Bacillota; Clostridia. The record is from RNAcentral.